GAUGAACGCUGGCGGCGUGCCUCAAACAUGCAAGUCGAGCGGGGCUAUGUAAUAUCGCAAGGUAGAACAUAGCCUAGCGGCGAACGGGUGAGUAACACGUGGGUAACCUGCCUGGAAGACAGGGAUAACGAUUCGAAAGGGUCGCUAAUACCUGAUAAUAUCCUUUCAUCGCAUGGUGAUAGGAAGAAAGGGGAAACCCGCUUUCAGAUGGGCCCGCGUCCCAUCAGCUAGUUGGUAAGGUAAAGGCUUACCAAGGCGACGACGGGUAGCCGGUCUGAGAGGAUGUACGGCCACACUGGGACUGAGAUACGGCCCAGACUCCUACGGGAGGCAGCAGUUGGGAAUCUUAGGCAAUGGACGAAAGUCUGACCUAGCGACGCCGCGUGAGGGAAGAAAGGGCCUUCGGGUUGUAAACCUCUGUCAUGGGGGAAGAAGUAAGUGACGGUACCCAAGAGGAAGCCCCUGCUAACUACGUG
RNAcentral lists this ribosomal RNA (476 nucleotides) under uncultured bacterium. RNAcentral's name for it is "bacterial SSU rRNA". It matches the Rfam family "Bacterial small subunit ribosomal RNA", at positions 28 to 507 of the family's 1533-position model. The record is from RNAcentral.